GCCCACCCAAAGACCGGGUCGGGUCAACAUGUGCAACGGUUGAGGACUGAUUAGUUAUUGCUAUAACUGAAAAGAGGAUAAGAAAACAGAGAUUGGCAGAUUUGGAAGCCACUUCUGUUGGCUUCAAAUGGGUUUUCAUUGCCUUUGAUCAGCAGAAAGGACAGAAAAAACUAGGGUUUUCAUUGCCUUUGAUCAGUAGAAAGGACAGAAAAAACAAUGGGCUUCACAGCAUUCACACCAUCCACAGCAGCCAACAACGUCAACUCAUCUUUCCCUUCUUCAUUAUGGAUCCCUUCUUCCCAUUUAUCCAUCUCCAAGAAGCCCAUCUCGGAUUGCAGUGCUUUUUCUUCAAGGGACAACUCUUUUAUGAGGGGUCAGUUUCAGAGCAGGCACUUGCUUGGGUGCUGUUCCAGACGAGUGCAGAGUAGAAGAGCAGGAAUUUUGGUUUUGCCGAGCUGUGUCCUUCCAUUAACUGAAGAAAAUGUUGAGAAGGUCUUGGACGAGGUGCGACCUGGGUUAAUGGCUGAUGGAGGAAAUGUGGCUCUACAUGAGAUUGAUGGCCUUGUUGUGGUACUAAAGCUACAAGGAGCAUGUGGCUCUUGUCCAAGCUCAACAAUGACACUAAAGAUGGGAAUUGAAACUAGGCUUCGUGACAAGAUCCCAGAAAUUGAGGCAGUGGAACAAAUCCUCGACACAGAGACUGGCCUGGAGUUAAAUGAGGAAAAUGUUGAGAAGGUUCUUGCUGAGAUUAGACCAUACCUUGCUGGCACAGGUGGUGGGGUGCUCGAGCUUGUUCAGAUCAAUGAUUAUGUCAUCAAAGUUCGGCUCAGUGGACCUGCAGCUGGGGUUAUGACUGUUCGGGUGGCUCUAACACAAAAAUUGAGGGAAAAGAUACCUGCCAUUGCAGCUGUCCAGUUGAUAGAUGGAUAAAAUACUAUGAAAAAACAGUUGUAAGUGUAAAGCGAGAAUCUAGAAAUGUAGUCUACCAUCUCUUUUCAUGAGAACAGCCACUUGUUUGGAAAAAAAUAAAAAAGCAUUAUUUCAGGUACAUAUUUCAGAUGAAUCUGACUCAGUUCACAUUCAAUAUGUAAGAAAAAGAGCAAUGUAUUGAGGUAAUUCUUUCAAUCUUCAAGAGGGUCCAUGCUAUUUCGAUGUGGUCUAGAAGAAACACAAUGGAAUUCCUGUUUGAACUAUGUUUAUCAAUUUGGUUGUACUUGGAGCUCAUGAUAGCAGAGGCCAGGUACCAUGUAUGCAUACAGAAACACAUAGUUCCAGUAUUCUUCUCUUCUGGGUUGAUCAUUUUGUUUCUUCUUUUAUACACCACAAAAGAAUAUGAUUAGUAUGUGCUGCGAUACUUAUUUGUACUUCUCCAAUCUGAUGAAUGACAUUUCCACCUUGACCUUGUGAUCUA
Molecule: RNA transcript, 1411 nt
Organism: Vitis vinifera (wine grape)
Lineage: Eukaryota; Viridiplantae; Streptophyta; Magnoliopsida; Vitales; Vitaceae
Gene name: nifU-like protein 3, chloroplastic
Exons: 5
Source: RefSeq, a predicted model, not a curated record